RNAcentral lists this long non-coding RNA (1348 nucleotides) under Equus asinus (donkey). RNAcentral's name for it is "lncRNA (ENSEASG00005027199.1)". The record is from RNAcentral. Lineage: Eukaryota; Metazoa; Chordata; Mammalia; Perissodactyla; Equidae.
GGGAGUGAGCCAUGCAGAGAUGUUAAAGCAAAGUGAUUCUAGGCAAAGGAAACAUCCAGUAUAAAACCCCUGAAGCAGGAGUAUGCCCAGCUUGUUUGAAGAGCUCAGUGUGCUGGAGUAAAGUAACAGUGAGAUGAGGUGAAAUGAGUACCAGGGCGAGGUGGUGCAGGGCCUUGUAGGCCAUUGUUAAGACUUUGAAGGGUUUCCCUCAAAGCGUUGACAUAACUGCAUUGUUUUUAUAUGAGGAUCGUUCCAGCUGCUGCACUGAGAAGUGACUGAGGGGGCACAGAGACAAAGUAGAGAGACCAGUUAUGAGGCAAAGAUCCAGAUGGGUCUUUGCAGAGACCAGAUUUGACUUCUGCUUCAUGAGAAAAUUUGAAAAUAUUUCUUUUAACAGGCAGGAGAAACAAUUUCUUGGCUGUUUUGACAAGUCUGAGAUGUUUAAGGAGUUACUGGCUGGAACUCGACACUGAUUAUCCUAAAGGAUUUCUAAGGGUUCAAAAAAGUGGAAGAAGAUUGGCUUUCAUCACUUCUGCAAGGAGUUUAUUUUAAAAAUCAGCAGAGUAGUUACUCCUUGCUAACCACCAGGAAUUCUGGGAAAUUCUCUAAGCAACCAUUUGUUUAUAUUGAACAAGUCAAAUUCCCACGAAGUGAAUGGAAAUUGAUUCUCCUUUCGACAUCUGUAUUUCUACCAGUAGCACCAGUCUUCUAGUCAUUCCAUUAUACAAUUUUUGGACUCAUUAUUGACUUUCUCUCCUCAAGACUUGUGCUUUGUGUGUUUAUAUCUCUUGAUAGUGUAUUUUAUACAGAGUGACUUUUAAAUGUUGACUGAUAAUGAUAUACUAAUAUGUUUAAAAUAACUCAUAAUUAGUUUUCUCGAUAUUGAGAGAAAUAUUAUAAAAUCUAAAAAGAAGUUUGAGACCAACAAUUUGUUUUGACACAGUAUGUUUUACUUGGACUGGCGUAUUUCUUGUUUGCCUUACCUAGUUUUUCCAUGUUAGGUCUCCAAACUUCUCUUCAGAGUUUGUCACAGGACCAUGUCUCUCUUCCUCUACACUCUCCAUUUUGUCAUCAUUCUUAUAAAAUUUGCCCAUCCUUCUAAAUUACUUAGUUCAGUUAAUGUUGUUGCCAUGCAUUUAAUUAUUCGUAAUAGAAAACAUAGAGUCAUUUUCAAAACACUUUUUCUGUCACCUGUAAUAUAUCAACUUGGUCACCAAGUAGAAUUGAUUUGAUCUCCAAUACAGCUCUAGAAUCUCUCUCUUCCAAUCUCUCUACUGCCUCUGCCUUAGUAAUUCAGGACCUCAUCACCUCUUAUUUAAACACAAGAAAAAGCAAAAAAAUGUGCUGA